Molecule: transfer RNA, 65 nt
Filed under: Zaranga tukuringra
Lineage: Eukaryota; Metazoa; Arthropoda; Insecta; Lepidoptera; Notodontidae
Description: tRNA-Thr
Source: RNAcentral
GUUUUUAUAAUUUAACAAAAAUAUUGGUCUUGUAAAUCAAAAAUAAGUAAGAUACUUUAAAAACU